UAAAAAAUUUUGUUAACCCCAACCGCGGGCCCCAAAAUUUGUUUUUUAUUUUAACCCCUCCAAACCUUAUUUUUUAAAAUUUUAAAAUUAAAUACCCCUCUUUUCUUAAAUUUUUUUAAAAAAACUAAAAAAUCCCAAAAAUUUUAUGGAAAAACAGCCUUUUAAAAAUUUUUUUAACCCAAAAAAUUUUUU
This 192-nucleotide ribosomal RNA is filed under the name Cricula trifenestrata. Its description in RNAcentral is "partial 12S ribosomal RNA". Lineage: Eukaryota; Metazoa; Arthropoda; Insecta; Lepidoptera; Saturniidae. The record is from RNAcentral.